CAAUAGCGUAUAUUAAAGUUGUUGCGGUUAAAAAGCUCGUAGUUGGAGUUCUGCCAGGUGCCGCCUGUCCGCCCCAGUGGUGAGUACGUGGCGCGCAUUUGGCCCUUUCAAGGGGAGCGUAUCUGCACUUUAUUGUGUGGUGCGGGAUCCUUGACUUUUACUUUGAGGAAAUAGGAGUGUUCCAAGCAGGCUCUCGUCGUGCACAGCUCAGCAUGGAAUAAUAGCAUUGGACCUCGAUUCUAAGCUGUUGGUUGCCAGAAGCGAGGUAAUGAUGAAGAGGGAUAGUUGGGGGCAUUCGUAUUUAACUGUCAGAGGUGAAAUUCUUGGAUUUGUUAAAGAUGGACUACUGCGAAAGCAUCUGCCAUGGAUGUUUUCAUUGA
Molecule: ribosomal RNA, 380 nt
Filed under: uncultured eukaryote
Lineage: Eukaryota
Description: partial 18S ribosomal RNA
Rfam family: Eukaryotic small subunit ribosomal RNA
Source: RNAcentral